AUGUUGUGUGAAAGGAGAAAAGGCUGGCACUGCCCUGGACAAGGUGGAAGAGGCUCUCAAGCCUGACAACACACCUGUGGUUAAAGCGUUGCCACCUACUUUGUGGCAGCUCCAUUAGCCCUC
Small nuclear RNA from Cavia porcellus (domestic guinea pig), 123 nucleotides. Lineage: Eukaryota; Metazoa; Chordata; Mammalia; Rodentia; Caviidae. The record is from Ensembl.